Molecule: ribosomal RNA, 340 nt
Filed under: uncultured Verrucomicrobiae bacterium
Lineage: Bacteria; Pseudomonadati; Verrucomicrobiota; Verrucomicrobiia
Description: bacterial SSU rRNA
Rfam family: Bacterial small subunit ribosomal RNA
Source: RNAcentral
GAGUUUGAUCCUGGCUCAGAACGAACGCUGGCGGCGUGUUUAAGACAUGCAAGUCGCACGGUGUCAUUUUUGGUAGCAAUACUUGGAUGGCAUAGUGGCGCACGGGUGAGUAACACGUGAAUUACAUGCCCUAUAGAGGGGGAUAGCCCAGGGAAACUUGGAUUAAUACCCCAUGGUCUCGCAAGAGUAAAAGGUGGCCGCAAGGCUGUCGCUAUAGGAUUGGUUCGCGCCCUAUCAGCUUGUUGGUGGGGUAACGGCUCACCAAGGCUACGACGGGUACCUGGUCUGAGAGGACGAUCAGGCACACUGGAACUGAGACACGGUCCAGACACCUACGGGU